UGAGGAAUAUUGGUCAAUGGAGGAAACUCUGAACCAGCCAAGUCGCGUGAAGGAAGACGGUCCUAUGGAUUGUAAACUUCUUUAGUAGGUGAAUAGAGAUAUGUACGUGUACAUAUAGGCAUGUAACCUAAGAAUAAGUAUCGGCUAACUCCGUGCCAGCAGCCGCGGUAAUACGGAGGAUACGAGCGUUAUCCGGAUUUAUUGGGUUUAAAGGGUGCGUAGGUUGCUGUUUAAGUCAGUGGUGAAAAGCUGUGGCUCAACCAUAGUCUUGCCAUUGAAACUGGAUAGCUAGAGUACAGAUGAUGUAGGCGGAAUGCGUAGUGUAGCGGUGAAAUGCAUAGAUAUUACGCGGAACUCCAAUUGCGAAGGCAGCUUACAAAAGUGUAACUGACACUGAUGCACGAAAGCGUGGGGAGCAAACA
This 422-nucleotide ribosomal RNA is filed under the name uncultured Porphyromonas sp. Its description in RNAcentral is "bacterial SSU rRNA". It matches the Rfam family "Bacterial small subunit ribosomal RNA", at positions 355 to 774 of the family's 1533-position model. Lineage: Bacteria; Pseudomonadati; Bacteroidota; Bacteroidia; Bacteroidales; Porphyromonadaceae. The record is from RNAcentral.